Molecule: ribosomal RNA, 253 nt
Filed under: uncultured bacterium
Lineage: Bacteria
Description: partial 16S ribosomal RNA
Rfam family: Bacterial small subunit ribosomal RNA
Source: RNAcentral
UACGUAGGUGGCAAGCGUUAUCCGGAAUUAUUGGGCGUAAAGGGCGCGUAGGCGGCUUUGCAAGUGACGGGUGAAAUCCCUCGGCUUAACCGAGGAACUGCCUGUCAAACUGCAUGGCUUGAGACCGGGAGAGGUGAGUGGAAUUCCCAGUGUAGCGGUGAAAUGCGUAGAUAUCGGGAGGAACACCAGUAGCGAAGGCGAGUCUCUGGGAUGAUGCUGACGCUGAGGCGCGAAAGCCAGGGGAGCAAACGGG